This 157-nucleotide long non-coding RNA is filed under the name Pan paniscus (pygmy chimpanzee). RNAcentral describes it as "lncRNA (ENSPPAG00000044461.1)". The record is from RNAcentral. Lineage: Eukaryota; Metazoa; Chordata; Mammalia; Primates; Hominidae.
UUUACCUAGAUAUUCCAGAUGAAGGAAGGCCUUAUUGGUAAGUCUCAUUUCCCAAGGAAUCAAGAAGUCUGGAAUCCAAGAUACCAGAAGAGCAUUCGUGUGGCAAAUAAAAGAUGGAAGUUUAUGUUGAUACAGUGUUUGACAUUUCUAUAAGCGG